GUUGGAACUAUGGGAUCUUUGUUUCAUGAGGGUCAAUAUUCUUUGUCCACAAAGCACUAUUUGCAUCAUGAUCACAGAAGCUUGAAUUGGCUCCUAACAAAUGUAUGUGGCAUCACGCUUCGAAUCCAGCAUCCGGAUUUAAAUAAGCUUGCCCCAUACUGUCCUUAUUUUUUUGGCUGCCAGUUUUUCUCUACGUUCCCUUUCCACAAUCAUGUGUUUC
RNAcentral lists this long non-coding RNA (220 nucleotides) under Elaeis guineensis (African oil palm). Its description in RNAcentral is "long non-coding RNA (EGUI_LNC013927)". The record is from RNAcentral. Lineage: Eukaryota; Viridiplantae; Streptophyta; Magnoliopsida; Arecales; Arecaceae.